GGGAUUUUGUAAUUACAGCAACAGGCUAUGCCUGUUUCCCCACCCAGCUUUACCGUGUCCUGGUCUCUUGCCUCAGUUUCUCAUGAGCUAUAAAAACACACUGAGCUCCAUCCAGCAGGAUUUCCUCUGUCUGCCCGUGGGACUACACUGCUGGAGCGCUCCUCUAGGACUAGAGGAUGUCAGCUAGGGAGCCCCUCCCAUGCCAAGCAGCAAGUAGGACCUGGCUGAGAGGAAGGACACUGCGGGUGUAUGUUUCCCUCCACUGCCCCCCGGGACGUCCCUGAGAGCGUCCAUCUGAGCUGCAUGUCCAUGGAUGAUGCAGCUGUCCUGUGGUCCCCGCUAAGAUGGAGUGAAAAAGCAAGUCCCAAGCCCCUGGCCAGCCAGUCCGGUUGCAUCUGUAAUCUCCACCAUGGCCUGACGAUUCGCCAGCACCUGCUUUCCCUGAGGCACAGAUAGCACAGAAAUAUUUCCUCCUCCUCUGUGUUAACUUGAGCAUCGCAGUUCACUACCAAGAAGUAUCAAGGCAAGUCAAAGGAGAAAGGAAUAUGCAAUAAAUGACACUGAAGCAACUGGAUAUCAACAUGCAAAAAGAUACAUUGAAACGUUUUACAUCAUGGACAAAAAUUAACUCUAAGAUGGAUCACAGACUUAAAUGUAAGAGAGUUUGAAAAGAUUGCUAGGAAUAAAACAAGACAGAAUGAAAAGUUACCUGGGGCUCUGAAGCUGUCAACCAGGAGAUGAACACACCCACCCCCCACAGCUGGCCUUUGAGAUGAGCAGCGGAUCACCAUGCUGCGAUCAAGCCUGGCUGUGCCUCCCGCUGCUAACAGGAGCCCCCAGGCUGCCCCACUGGCGCUGCUGCAGGGCACCUGCAGGGAUGCGAACGCUGCGUGUCCACACACAGCCCCGUGCAUGUGUGCACACAGACAUACUUGUGUGAUUCUACACUCACGUGCAUGCACACACAGGCACACAGCUUCGCUCACAGCCUCACACUGUGUGUACACACAUGCACACAAAAAGCCUUAGGAACACACACACAUGCACACACAUGCACAUCUGUACACACUCACGCACAGUCCUAUGCACACUCAUGCACACACAUCCUGUGCCCACUGAACACAAUAAGGUCGGAGGGGCACUCUUGGAAUAGAGCCUCUUUUGAGAAUGGAUUAGGCUUCCUGAUGGUAACUGGAAGAAACGUAGAGAGAGACCCUGACAUCUCCCAGAAUUCCCACAUUCCCAUCUCCCAGCAUUCCCAUUCCCUCAGACCUCCUCCCUCUUACCUGGCUGCCUUCACCAUGGGAGAGAUCAGCAGAUGCAAUGGAAAGUCCAGGGAGGGGAGCAAUGCAAGAGCAGUACAGAACUUGAAAGAUAAAGAGGAUAGAACAAAGCAAAAGCUCUCUUUGUAUAGAUAUCUUUAUAUCCAAAGAAACAAACAGUAGGGAAUCAAGGAGUAAGUAGGAUCGGAAUAUAUGGUAGUGAUGAGAAAUACAAAGCCAUAAGCAUGUUAACCCUCCUUUGCUUUGCUGUUUCAAUGACUGGGAAUUUGUUUUAGGAAAAUAACACCAAACCAUGAAAACUCUGCAUGCUUCAUGACUAAGAAGACCGCAUUAGCAAUCAAUUAAAAUGGCAACACUAGAAGAACCAUAAAGUGAAUCUACUGCAGUGAGUCACAGCGGCAAUUUAAAGACCAAGUUGCCGUUAACUAAGAUGCAGAUGACGCAGUCAUGGAAAGUUGCAUAUGUGCUGUCUGCCCACAUGUAACACGUGUGUCUGCCCUGGGAUAACGGAAAGACUAGCAGUAGGGCCCUCCAAAGUGAGUGGCCGCUGCAGAAGCUGCUCAGCCCCGGAUCCUGGAUGUCCAGAGUUGCAUCAACAAGCUGUCUCGGGCUGGCUGCUCGUGGCGAUUUCCCUCGUCCUGCUGGAGAGCAGCAGAUGGUUUCCCAUACUGUGUUAUAUUUAUUAACAUUCAGCCCAGACUUAAUUGACAAUACUAAACAUUGGUUCUUUAAACAUUCAGCUUCAUUAUUUGCAAUGGUAAUUUCAGUAAACAGUAGCUAUUCCAAAGCUCUGUAGUGUGAAAUUAAAUUUGUUGGUUAAUUAAUUGGAAGAAUGUAGCAACUUCAGACUGCUUAGAGAUGGUGGCCUUGGUGUGGCAUUGAAAUCAGUGAUCUGUAAAAUUACUCACAGUAUAGCAAAGUCAAG
This is a long non-coding RNA of Heterocephalus glaber (naked mole-rat), 2208 nucleotides long. The record is from Ensembl. NCBI's taxonomy places the organism in Eukaryota, Metazoa, Chordata, Mammalia, Rodentia, Bathyergidae.